This 464-nucleotide ribosomal RNA is filed under the name Vreelandella stevensii. RNAcentral describes it as "partial 16S ribosomal RNA". It matches the Rfam family "Bacterial small subunit ribosomal RNA", at positions 338 to 795 of the family's 1533-position model. The record is from RNAcentral. Lineage: Bacteria; Pseudomonadati; Pseudomonadota; Gammaproteobacteria; Oceanospirillales; Halomonadaceae.
CCUACGGGGGGCAGCAGUGGGGAAUAUUGGACAAUGGGCGAAAGCCUGAUCCAGCCAUGCCGCGUGUGUGAAGAAGGCCUUCGGGUUGUAAAGCACUUUCAGUGGGGAAGAAAGCCUUGGGGCUAAUACCCUCGAGGAAGGACAUCACCCACAGAAGAAGCACCGGCUAACUCCGUGCCAGCAGCCGCGGUAAUACGGAGGGUGCGAGCGUUAAUCGGAAUUACUGGGCGUAAAGCGCGCGUAGGCGGUCUGAUAAGCCGGUUGUGAAAGCCCCGGGCUCAACCUGGGAACGGCAUCCGGAACUGUCAGGCUAGAGUGCAGGAGAGGAAGGUAGAAUUCCCGGUGUAGCGGUGAAAUGCGUAGAGAUCGGGAGGAAUACCAGUGGCGAAGGCGGCCUUCUGGACUGACACUGACGCUGAGGUGCGAAAGCGUGGGUAGCAAACAGGAUUAGAUACCCUUUAGUC